AUUGAACGCUGGCGGCAUGCCUAACACAUGCAAGUCGAGCGAGCGGCGGACGGGUGAGGAAUGGCUGGGAACCUGCGUGAUGGAGGGGGAUAACUAGUGGAAACGGUAGCUAAUACCGCAUACCAUCAGAUGUGCCCAGAUGGGAUUAGCUAGUGGGUGGGGUAAUGGCUCACCUAGGCGACGAUCCCUAGCUGGUCUGAGAGGAUGACCAGCCACACUGGGACUGAGACACGGUCCAGACUCCUACGGGAGGCAGCAGUGGGGAAUAUUGCACAAUGGGCGCAAGCCUGAUGCAGCCAUGCCGCGUGUGUGAAGAAGGCCUUCGGGUUGUAAAGCACUUUCGGCGGGGAGGCGUUACCCGCCGAAGAAGCACCGGCUAACUCCGUGCCAGCCGCCGCGGUAAUUC
Molecule: ribosomal RNA, 406 nt
Filed under: uncultured bacterium
Lineage: Bacteria
Description: partial 16S ribosomal RNA
Rfam family: Bacterial small subunit ribosomal RNA
Source: RNAcentral